GCCUGGCCUUGUUUACAAGAAACCACGGACAAAAAAAGGAGCAUUUAAGGCUGGGCACGGUAGCUCGCGCCUGUAAUCCCAGCACUUUUGGAGGCCGAGGUGGGUGGAUCACCUGAGGUCAGGAGUUUGAGACCAGCCUGAUCAACCAAUGAAACCCUGUCUCUACUAAAAAUACAAAAUUAGUCAGGUGUAGUGGCACACGCCUGUAAUCCCAGUUACUUGGGAGGCUGAGGCAGGAGAAUCACUUGAACCCGGGAGGCGGAGUUUACAAUGAGCCAAGAUCAUGCCAUUGCACUCCAGCCAGGGCUAUAAGGCGAAACUCCGUCUCAAAAAAAAAAAAGGAGCAUUUACAUUUAAACCAAAUGUAUUUGUCCAACAAGGGAAUGGGAUGGGGGUGUGGAGGGGGGAGAGUUUAUCAUGAUAGUGAGUAUUCAGGCAGAGGCUAAGUUUUCACUUGGCUGAAGGCUCUAGAAAGGGUCACAUGGACAGAUGCCUCCUAUCAGUCCUUCUAAGUGUGAACUUCCACGUAAGGUUCCCUUAGUCACCUCUGAGCACUUACUUUGUGUCAAGUUCUCGGUAAGGCUCUGAGGACCCAGAAACAAAUGAGACAAGGUCAUGGUUACUCAACUGAAAUGCUGAAGCAGGAUAGAGAAAGGCUGAGCUCUGGAAACAGGAGGCUGGAGUUUAAUUCCUAGCUCUGUUAUUUCGUAGCUGUGCAUCACUGGAGAUGCCACUUGGCCUCUGGUUCUGUUUCCUCAUUUAUGAACUAGGAACAACAGUUAUCUUCAUAGAUUACAGGAACCCAAUGACAAAAUACACCUGGAGCAUUUGUAGCACAGUGCCUGGUAUGUAGUAAGCAUGUUAUUUUAUUAGUAGUAAUAUUUUUAUGAUGACCUUGGAUAAGUCACUUCAUUUUUCAAAGCCUCAGCUUUCUCAUCCAUAGGAUGGAGUUAACACUGACAUCACGGGGUUGGAAUCUUGCUGUGUCGUGGGGUCGGGAGCUGCCAUUUCGUCUCUCCGCUUCCUCCUGGGAUAAGUGGGUCGCAUCAUGCCCACUUGAUCGCGGACGGAAACCAGCCCCGUUCAGCGCAAAGGAGGAACCUGAAUUAACAAGGACGCGAUUUGCUGGCUGCGCUCCCGGGAGUGUUCUGAACUCCAACAUGAAGUGACUUGAAUGUGAGAAGCGACUCAGUCAGUGAUGGCAUUCAGGGAAGCUGCUUUUAAAACCACCUAGGUUGGUUCAUACAUAGCAAGCUGCUGGCACUUCCUUAGCCCCAUACCCCCUGAUUGGUCCCCACCCCAUCCUGCCAUCGGCCUGUUUACCGUGUUGGCUUUUUGGUGAAGAGACUGCACAGGGCAGAAAAAUUAUUAAAAUCCUUCCUGGCUUUUUUCCUGAACAAUCCUGAAUGCUACUUCAGCAAUUAUAGGAGGAAAAAUAAAAUUAUUUUCCCCUUGCUUCCUAUAUAAUUUAGGACCACUAGAAAACUCUGUGAUCCCAAGUUAUUCUGUUUCUCUCUGAUACCAAUUUUUCUGAUAACAGAAAAUUAUCCCUGUGUAUACUUUAGUAAAGGGUCUGAGGGUGGUUUUUCUAGAGACUGAGAAUGACCCAGAGUUGUUUCAGUUUGAAUCAUUUCUAUUGUUCUGCUUCCACAUUUCACUGACUCUUUCCUCUGUCAUCUCCAUUUUGUCCUUAAGCCCAUUCAGUGAAUUAAAAAAAUUCAGAUACUGUAUUUCUGUUCAAAAAUUUCCACUUAAAUUUUUUUUUCAGUUUCUCUUCUGAGAUUUACUGUUUUCUCCUUCAUUUUGAGCAUAUUUUCUUUUUUUUUUUUCUUUUUUGAGACGGAGUCUUGUUCUGUCGCCAGGCUGGAGUGCAGUAGCUGAAUCUCGGCUCACUGCAAGCUCUGCCUCCCGGAUUCAAGCGAUUCUCCUGCCUCAGCCUCUCAAGUAGCUGGGACUACAGGCGCGCGCCACAACACCCGGCUAAUUUUGUAUUUUAGUAGAGACGGGGUUUCACCAUGUUGGUCAGAAUGGUCCCGAUCUCCUGAUCUCGUGAUCCGCCUGCCUCGGCCACCCAAAGUGCUGAGAUUACAGGCAUGAGCCACCGUGUCCGGCCUUGAGCAUAUUUUCUUUUACUUCAUUGAUCUUAGUUAUAAUAGCUCUGUUAAUAUCUUUGUCUGAGAAUUUCAGCAUCUGGGUUGUCUUGGAGUUGCCCUCUGCUGAUUGUCUUUUCCUUUGCAAAUUGCAAAUGGGUUUAAUUUUUCUAGGUGUUUUUUGUUUGUUUGUUUGUUUUUGUUUUGUUUUGUUUUGAGACAGGGUCUCACUCAGUCGCCCAGGCUGGAGUGCAGUGGUGUGGACAUGGCUCACUGCAGCCUUGACUACUGGGCUGAAGUGAUCCUCCUGCCUCAGCCUCUCAGGUAGCUGGGACCACAGGCAUGUAUCACCACACCUGGCUAAUUUUUUAAAAUUUAUUUUCAUUUUUUGUAGAGACAGUGUCUCACUGUGUUGCCCAGGCUGGUCUCAAAAACACUUUGGGCUCAGAUGAUCCUCCUGUCUUGGCCUCCCAAAGUGCCAGGAUUACAGGCAUGAGCCACCGUGUCCAGAUGCUUUUUCUAGUUCUUUAUGUAAUUUGGGAUUGUAUUCUUCACACUGUGAAUGUUGUAUUGUGGAGACUUUGGUUUCUGUUGAUGUUUUUAAUUUAGUAGACAAUAACUCAGACUCAAAACUGCAAACUCUGUCUCUGUCACACCUGCAGUGGGUCGCAGUUCAAAUUUCAGUUCAGUUCUUUUCUCUUUAACUGAGGUCUUUGGAUUCUGCCCUAUGCUUGCAUGGCUCAGGGUUCAGCCAGAGACUGGGUAGAAUUUACACACAGAAUCUGAGACUCUCCUUUUCUAGCUCUUUUUUUUCUUACUUCCAUGAUCUGUGGCUGCUCUGGGCUAUUUCUUCAGGACAGAAAGCCUAGGGUUUGUUUUUUGAUUGGAACUUCAGCUAGACCAGCCUCAGGCUAGAGAUCCAAAAAUGAGGAGUUCGUUCCAUGUCAGCCCUUUCUUCCAACUUUCAACUUACUUUCAAAAUCUGCCAGCCCUUGUUCACUUCACAUAGUUUUUGUGUUUUAUCCAGAGUAUAGUUGUUGUCUGUGGGAGGGUCAUGCUGAAAGCAGAAUUUCGUACUGACAUUUUUAUCUAUUAUCAAAGUGUUUGGGGGACAAAAAUGUUCACUUGAGCUUGUUUUGUAAGCUUGGGCAAGUCUCCUUUCCUCUCUGGGACCCACUUGCUCCUCUGGGAAAUGAGGUGGUUGGACUCUGUGAUCUGUAAGGAUCCUUCAGUCUCUUCUUCUAGGCAGACAGACACGUACACACAUACUACCACCACUAUCACCACCAACAGUAACAGAAACAAUAAGUGCCAGAAGAGAUGCUUGAGGGAAGUGAUGAGGAUGGAUCUGUCAUGGUGGAAAGCUCUCUGAAGCGGCAUCACUAAGGAAUUUGAGAAUGUUUACAGUCAUCCUCUUGUUUUGGGGACAGAGGGCAACUACGCUGAGGAAGCAAGAAGUAAAUGGCAUUCAGAAGAAAGAAAUCAGUUGCUGCUUACUUCUACCCCUUAGAAAUAUGAGAGAACGUAGACAGUUGAAAACAAAUCAGGAUUAGCUGGAGUUCCUCUUUCCUUUUGGCAGUGCAUUCUGUCUUGUUUUGAAGAGAAAAGCCCCUGGGCCUUAGUAACAUGUCAGCAAAUUUGGCAGUAGGUGGUAGGUGCUGGGACAGUAGAUUUUAGCAGGGGCGCUAUCACUGUUAGGGCUGCAGAGACCUUAGGGGAGAUAGACCAGAUUUAUGUGACCAUUUCUUAGAGUUCAGAAUUUUUAUGUAGGAGAGGUUUUAGGCUAUGCAGAAGAAGAUGAGUGUGUGUGUGGGGGGCGGUGUUUGUGUGUGGGUGUUGUGUGUGUAAGGUGGGUGGGGAGGGGGAAAGAGACAGGUGGUGAUGGGGUAGGACGGAAAGUCUGUGGAACUGUCCUAAAACUAUUUGAAUACCAAUCACACUUACUUUAACUUCCAUUGAUUAUUUUUUAAAAGCAGAGGGUGGAGAGCUAAAGAUUCCCCCACAUCCACCUAAGCUAUCUCUUGGGUGCCGCCUUGGUAUAGAUCGUUUUUAAAAUUAUUUUUAAAGAUAGAGCGUCACUCUGUCAUCUAAGCUGGAGUGCAGUAGGACAACUGUGGCUCACAGCAGCCUCAAACUUCUGGGCUCCAGGUGGUCCUCCCGUCUCAGUCUCCCAAGUAGCUAGGACUAUAGGUGUGCAUCACCAUGCCCAGCUAAUUAAAAAAAAAUUUUUUUUUGUAGAGAUGGGGGCCUUGCUUUGUUGUUGUCCAGGCUGUUCUUGAACUCCUGGGUUCAAGCAAUCCUCCUGCCUUGGCCUCCCAAAGUGCUGGGAUUAUAGGCAUGAGCCACUGUGCCUGGCCUAGAUCCUUUUU
This 4459-nucleotide long non-coding RNA is filed under the name Pan paniscus (pygmy chimpanzee). Its description in RNAcentral is "lncRNA (ENSPPAG00000044989.1)". The record is from RNAcentral. Lineage: Eukaryota; Metazoa; Chordata; Mammalia; Primates; Hominidae.